AACGAGGCCGACCUGCGGCUGAGUUACCUGCGGAAGGAUCAUUACCGAGUGUGACCCUCUUAGAGGGUGCCUCCCGUCCUUGCAGGCCCCUAGGGGCUUUUGACUUUGCUUCGGCGGCACCCCCGCCGGAACAACCCCAAGAAAAUCUCAAUCAAACCGUUCCGUCCGAGGGCUUGUGAAUAAUCAAAACUUUUAACAACGGAUCU
RNAcentral lists this unclassified non-coding RNA (206 nucleotides) under soil metagenome. Its description in RNAcentral is "partial contains 5.8S ribosomal RNA, internal transcribed spacer 2, and large subunit ribosomal RNA". The record is from RNAcentral.